Triticum aestivum (bread wheat) is the source of this 125-nucleotide non-coding RNA. NCBI's taxonomy places the organism in Eukaryota, Viridiplantae, Streptophyta, Magnoliopsida, Poales, Poaceae. The record is from Rfam.
AUACUACUCCCUCCGUCCGGAAUUACUUGUCAUCAAAAUGAAUAAAAAUGGAUGUAUCUAGAACUAAAAUACAUCUAGAUAUAUCCAUUUCAAUGACAAGUAUUUCCGGACGGAGGGAGUACUAA